CAUAGUCUCUGGAUAUAGACCCGAAACCGAGUGAUCUAGCCAUGGGCAGGUUGAAGGUUGAGUAACAUCAACUGGAGGACCGAACCGACUAAUGUUGAAAAAUUAGCGGAUGACUUGUGGCUAGGGGUGAAAGGCCAAUCAAACUCGGAGAUAGCUGGUUCUCCCCGAAAGCUAUUUAGGUAGCGCCUCGGACGAAUACUACUGGGGGUAGAGCACUGUUAAGGCUAGGGGGUCAUCCCGACUUACCAACCCUUUGCAAACUCCGAAUACCAGUAAGUACUAUCCGGGAGACACACGGCGGGUGCUAACGUCCGUCGUGGAGAGGGAAACAACCCAGACCGCCAGCUAAGGUCCCAAAUUACAGCUAAGUGGGAAACGAUGUGGGAAGGCUUAGACAGCUAGGAUGUUGGCUUAGAAGCAGCCAUCAUUUAAAGAAAGCGUAAUAGCUCACUAGUCGAGUCGGCCUGCGCGGAAGAUGUAACGGGGCUAAGUUGUAAACCGAAGCUGCGGCAAUGUUCUAUGAACAUUGGGUAGGGGAGCGUUCUGUAAGCCGUUGAAGGUGUGUUGUAAAGCAUGCUGGAGGUAUCAGAAGUGCGAAUGCUGACAUGAGUAACGACAAGGGGGGUGAAAAACCUCCCCGCCGGAAGACCAAGGGUUCCUGUCCAACGUUAAUCGGGGCAGGGUAAGUCGACCCCUAAGGCGAGGCUGAAAAGCGUAGUCGAUGGGAAACGGGUUAAUAUUCCCGUACUUCUUACAAUUGCGAUGGGGGGACGGAGAAGGCUAGGUGGGCCUGGCGACGGUUGUCCAGGUUCAAGUGCGUAGGCUGAGUGUUUAGGUAAAUCCGGAUACUCUUAAGGCUGAGACACGACGUCGAGCUACUACGGUAGUGAAGUCAUUGAUGCCAUGCUUCCAGGAAAAGCCUCUAAGCUUCAGAUUGUAAGGAAUCGUACCCCAAACCGACACAGGUGGUCGGGUAGAGAAUACCAAGGCGCUUGAGAGAACUCGGGUGAAGGAACUAGGCAAAAUGGUACCGUAACUUCGGGAGAAGGUACGCUCUUGAUGGUGAAGUCCCUUGCGGAUGGAGCUGACGAGAGUCGCAGAUACCAGGUGGCUGCAACUGUUUAUUAAAAACACAGCACUGUGCAAAAUCGUAAGAUGACGUAUACGGUGUGACGCCUGCCCGGUGCCGGAAGGUUAAUUGAUGGGGUUAGCGUAAGCGAAGCUCUUGAUCGAAGCCCCGGUAAACGGCGGCCGUAACUAUAACGGUCCUAAGGUAGCGAAAUUCCUUGUCGGGUAAGUUCCGACCUGCACGAAUGGCGUAAUGAUGGCCACGCUGUCUCCACCCGAGACUCAGUGAAAUUGAAAUCGCUGUGAAGAUGCAGUGUACCCGCGGCUAGACGGAAAGACCCCGUGAACCUUUACUACAGCUUGGCACUGAACAUUGAACCUACAUGUGUAGGAUAGGUGGGAGGCUUUGAAGACGUGACGCCAGUUGCGUUGGAGCCGUCCUUGAAAUACCACCCUUGUAUGUUUGAUGUUCUAACGUUGGCCCCUAAUCGGGGUUGCGGACAGUGCCUGGUGGGUAGUUUGACUGGGGCGGUCUCCUCCCAAAGAGUAACGGAGGAGCACGAAGGUGGGCUAAUCACGGUUGGACAUCGUGAGGUUAGUGCAAUGGCAUAAGCCCGCUUAACUGCGAGAAUGACGGUUCGAGCAGGUGCGAAAGCAGGUCAUAGUGAUCCGGUGGUUCUGAAUGGAAGGGCCAUCGCUCAACGGAUAAAAGGUACUCCGGGGAUAACAGGCUGAUACCGCCCAAGAGUUCAUAUCGACGGCGGUGUUUGGCACCUCGAUGUCGGCUCAUCACAUCCUGGGGCUGAAGUCGGUCCCAAGGGUAUGGCUGUUCGCCAUUUAAAGUGGUACGCGAGCUGGGUUUAGAACGUCGUGAGACAGUUCGGUCCCUAUCUGCCGUGGGCGUUGGAAGAUUGAAGGGGGCUGCUCCUAGUACGAGAGGACCGGAGUGGACGAACCUCUGGUGUUCGGGUUGUGUCGCCAGACGCAUUGCCCGGUAGCUAAGUUCGGAAUCGAUAACCGCUGAAAGCAUCUAAGCGGGAAGCGAGCCCUGAGAUGAGUCUUCCCUGAUACUUUAAGUAUCCUGAAGGGUUGUUCGAGACUAGAACGUUGAUAGGCAGGGUGUGUAAGCGCUGUGAGGCGUUGAGCUAACCUGUACUAAUUGCCCGUGAGGCUUAACCAUACAACACCCAAAGGGUUUUG
RNAcentral lists this ribosomal RNA (2268 nucleotides) under Vibrio vulnificus. Its description in RNAcentral is "partial 23S ribosomal RNA". It matches the Rfam family "Bacterial large subunit ribosomal RNA", at positions 695 to 2925 of the family's 2925-position model. The record is from RNAcentral. Lineage: Bacteria; Pseudomonadati; Pseudomonadota; Gammaproteobacteria; Vibrionales; Vibrionaceae.